This 253-nucleotide ribosomal RNA is filed under the name uncultured bacterium. RNAcentral's name for it is "partial 16S ribosomal RNA". It matches the Rfam family "Bacterial small subunit ribosomal RNA", at positions 524 to 776 of the family's 1533-position model. The record is from RNAcentral.
UACGUAGGGGGCAAGCGUUGUCCGGAUUUAUUGGGCGUAAAGCGCUCGCAGGCGGCUCGAUGCGUCGUGCGUGAAACACCCCGGCUCAACUGGGGAGGGUCGUGCGAUACGGUCGGGCUGGAGGCCAGUAGGGGGAUGCGGAAUUCCGGGUGUAGUGGUGGAAUGCGCAGAUAUCAGGAGGAACACCGGUGGCGAAGGCGGAUCUCUGGGCCGAUACUGACGCUGAGGAGCGAAAGCGUGGGGAGCGAACAGG